RNAcentral lists this transfer RNA (58 nucleotides) under Ictidomys tridecemlineatus (thirteen-lined ground squirrel). Its description in RNAcentral is "Spermophilus tridecemlineatus (thirteen-lined ground squirrel) tRNA". It matches the Rfam family "tRNA", at positions 8 to 63 of the family's 71-position model. From Rfam's summary of the family: Transfer RNA (tRNA) molecules are approximately 80 nucleotides in length. Their secondary structure includes four short double-helical elements and three loops (D, anti-codon, and T loops). The record is from Rfam by way of RNAcentral. Lineage: Eukaryota; Metazoa; Chordata; Mammalia; Rodentia; Sciuridae.
UAGCUCAGUUGGUAGAGUGCUUGCCUUGCAUGCAUAAGGCUCUGGGCUCAAUCCCCAG